This 484-nucleotide ribosomal RNA is filed under the name uncultured bacterium. RNAcentral describes it as "partial 16S ribosomal RNA". It matches the Rfam family "Bacterial small subunit ribosomal RNA", at positions 30 to 507 of the family's 1533-position model. The record is from RNAcentral.
AUUGAACGCUGGCGGCAGGCCUAACACAUGCAAGUCGAGCGGAUGAAGGGAGCUUGCUCCUGGAUUCAGCGGCGGACGGGUGAGUAAUGCCUAGGAAUCUGCCUGGUAGUGGGGGAUAACGUCCGGAAACGGGCGCUAAUACCGCAUACGUCCUGAGGGAGAAAGUGGGGGAUCUUCGGACCUCACGCUAUCAGAUGAGCCUAGGUCGGAUUAGCUAGUUGGUGGGGUAAAGGCCUACCAAGGCGACGAUCCGUAACUGGUCUGAGAGGAUGAUCAGUCACACUGGAACUGGGACACGGUCCAGACUCCUACGGGAGGCAGCAGUGGGGAAUAUUGGACAAUGGGCGAAAGCCUGAUCCAGCCAUGCCGCGUGUGUGAAGAAGGUCUUCGGAUUGUAAAGCACUUUAAGUUGGGAGAAAGGGCAGUAAGUUAAUACCUUGCUGUUUUGACGUUACCAACAGAAUAAGCACCGGCUAACUUCGUG